Acinonyx jubatus (cheetah) is the source of this 1741-nucleotide RNA transcript. It is a transcript of the gene named ciliary associated calcium binding coiled-coil 1, with no coding region annotated. The record is from RefSeq and is a predicted model, not a curated record. The transcript has 10 exons. NCBI's taxonomy places the organism in Eukaryota, Metazoa, Chordata, Mammalia, Carnivora, Felidae.
AACCGGAAGCCGCUUCGCAGAUGAAUCUGUUCCCCAGACCCAGACCCCGGCCCCGCCCCGGUUGCCUAGGCGACGAAAGGCCGCAACUCCGCGGCUAGUUAAUGACGAUGUCUGUGGGGACUACUCCCGGGGGAACGACCCCCGCGGCGACGACCCCGGCGGGAACCACACCGGAGUUAGAGGAUGGCCUGGACUGUAGUGAGAGAGAUGCUGAAUUCCAGGAGCAUGAAAAGAUUCUGUAUCCAGAUUUUCUUUCAGCUGCUCAAAUCACUGAAAUGCUAACAGAAGACAUAAAUGGAGUUCAACAAAAACUGAAAAAGUUUUUGAAUUUCAAAAACCUUCAAACCUGUUUAAAGGAAGCCAUUCUACUAGAUUAUUAUGUAUCUGGAUUUUUGUGGGCUAGAGGAAUGGACUUUUCUGUUACUCAAUAUUCAAAAUUUAUGACUUUACUAGAUAUGUUACUUCAUAAUCUUAGAACACUGCAUAUGUCCUUAGAAGACAGCAUAAAAUGGCUUGGAGAAGUUAUGGCUGAAAUAGGACCACCCCAUUCACAGAAAAAUGAAGAAUGGAGUUUUUUUAAUAUAAAACAAGCCAAUGCUAUCAUCGAUUACUUAAAAAUCAGCUUAUUUCAACACUACAAGCUAUAUGAGUUUCUAUUCUACUCUACCAGGGAAGAAAUUGUGAUAGGAACUGAGCAAAUGAUAGAGGUUGUCAAGCCUUCAGGUGGUCUCCUCCCAGAUCCUCUAGAAGAAGGAAUCUCAUUUGACAUUUAUUCAACAUUCAUAGAACCACCCCCAACAUUGGAUGCAGAAGUGAAGGGGUUGGAUCAAGAACAAGUCCCUGAGGAAUUCCAGUCAGAAGCCAACAUUUCCGAUGCAGAUCCUUUAGUGGGUUUCACCAUUGAAGAUAUAAAAUCAGUGCUGGGUCAAGUCACAGAUGAUAUUUUAAUCGGCAUUCAGGUAAAAACUAAUACCCAAGGUAGCCAAGUGACUUGUCCAAGAUUAUGUAACUAAAUUAAUCCCUUGGUCUCCAGCUCCUAGACCAGUGCUCUUUCCAGAUCUACCAAAAUCAUGCCCAAGGGGAUCAGUGACUCCUAAACAAUGACAGAGUUCCUUUGUAACCCUGAGGACCAAGUUCAUUCUUCCUUGCCUCCUCCACCUAAACACCAGGAAACAAAAAAGGAAUACAAUGGGAAACCAGAGGCCAGAGUUUGAUAAAACUUGUAGGGCUUGAUAAAACUUGAACCAAAGAAGGAUACUUUCAUGAGGAUCCAGAAUUGUUGACACCAAUGCCAUCUUCUCAGAAAUACUGAUUCUUACCAGUGAAGGUGAAACAAAAUCUCAUCAGACCGAGAUAAACGAAAAGCUGCAAAUACAGGAAGAGGCCUUCAAUGCACGAAUAGAAAAACUGAAAAAGGCCUGAGGACUUAGUGCAAGGAGAGUGAUGCUAAACUUGAGAGAAACAAAUAAAACCAGCCAGAAUAAUAGACUCUCCAGAGCAGCAGAUAUCCUUCCUUUCGUUGGGAGAGGGAAACCAAGCCCCACUUUUUAUUAUCCUAAGUAAUUAGAAAAGUAUUGGCCCCCAUUUUGCUAUCUCCUGUCCCAUAACAGCCUCUGAAUUUAUUGCACUAAGUGUAAUAAGAACAUUCUGUAUACAAGAGUUUGGAGAAUUAUAUAUAAAAAUACAAUUACUUUUACGAUACUCCUUUGACAUUUUGACUAAUAAAUGCUAUUCAUCUUCA